RNAcentral lists this ribosomal RNA (301 nucleotides) under uncultured bacterium. RNAcentral describes it as "partial 16S ribosomal RNA". It matches the Rfam family "Bacterial small subunit ribosomal RNA", at positions 509 to 807 of the family's 1533-position model. The record is from RNAcentral.
CAGCAGCCACGGUAAUACGUAGGGCGCAAGCGUUAUCCGGAAUUAUUGGGCGUAAAGAGCUCGUAGGCGGUUUGUCGCGUCUGCCGUGAAAGUCCGGGGCUCAACCCCGGAUCUGCGGUGGGUACGGGCAGACUAGAGUGAUGUAGGGGAGACUGGAAUCCCUGGUGUAGCGGUGAAAUGCGCAGAUAUCAGGAGGAACACCGAUGGCGAAGGCAGGUCUCUGGGCAUUAACUGACGCUGAGGAGCGAAAGCAUGGGGAGCGAACAGGAUUAGAGACCUUGGUAGUCCCUGUCUCUUAUAC